Molecule: ribosomal RNA, 1263 nt
Filed under: Bacillus pumilus
Lineage: Bacteria; Bacillati; Bacillota; Bacilli; Caryophanales; Bacillaceae
Description: bacterial SSU rRNA
Rfam family: Bacterial small subunit ribosomal RNA
Source: RNAcentral
UGCGGCGGACGGGUGAGUAACACGUGGGUAACCUGCCUGUAAGACUGGGAUAACUCCGGGAAACCGGAGCUAAUACCGGAUAGUUCCUUGAACCGCAUGGUUCAAGGAUGAAAGACGGUUUCGGCUGUCACUUACAGAUGGACCCGCGGCGCAUUAGCUAGUUGGUGGGGUAAUGGCUCACCAAGGCGACGAUGCGUAGCCGACCUGAGAGGGUGAUCGGCCACACUGGGACUGAGACACGGCCCAGACUCCUACGGGAGGCAGCAGUAGGGAAUCUUCCGCAAUGGACGAAAGUCUGACGGAGCAACGCCGCGUGAGUGAUGAAGGUUUUCGGAUCGUAAAGCUCUGUUGUUAGGGAAGAACAAGUGCGAGAGUAACUGCUCGCACCUUGACGGUACCUAACCAGAAAGCCACGGCUAACUACGUGCCAGCAGCCGCGGUAAUACGUAGGUGGCAAGCGUUGUCCGGAAUUAUUGGGCGUAAAGGGCUCGCAGGCGGUUUCUUAAGUCUGAUGUGAAAGCCCCCGGCUCAACCGGGGAGGGUCAUUGGAAACUGGGAAACUUGAGUGCAGAAGAGGAGAGUGGAAUUCCACGUGUAGCGGUGAAAUGCGUAGAGAUGUGGAGGAACACCAGUGGCGAAGGCGACUCUCUGGUCUGUAACUGACGCUGAGGAGCGAAAGCGUGGGGAGCGAACAGGAUUAGAUACCCUGGUAGUCCACGCCGUAAACGAUGAGUGCUAAGUGUUAGGGGGUUUCCGCCCCUUAGUGCUGCAGCUAACGCAUUAAGCACUCCGCCUGGGGAGUACGGUCGCAAGACUGAAACUCAAAGGAAUUGACGGGGGCCCGCACAAGCGGUGGAGCAUGUGGUUUAAUUCGAAGCAACGCGAAGAACCUUACCAGGUCUUGACAUCCUCUGACAACCCUAGAGAUAGGGCUUUCCCUUCGGGGACAGAGUGACAGGUGGUGCAUGGUUGUCGUCAGCUCGUGUCGUGAGAUGUUGGGUUAAGUCCCGCAACGAGCGCAACCCUUGAUCUUAGUUGCCAGCAUUUAGUUGGGCACUCUAAGGUGACUGCCGGUGACAAACCGGAGGAAGGUGGGGAUGACGUCAAAUCAUCAUGCCCCUUAUGACCUGGGCUACACACGUGCUACAAUGGACAGAACAAAGGGCUGCGAGACCGCAAGGUUUAGCCAAUCCCAUAAAUCUGUUCUCAGUUCGGAUCGCAGUCUGCAACUCGACUGCGUGAAGCUGGAAUCGCUAGUAAUCG